GGGGAAUUUUGGACAAUGGGGGCAACCCUGAUCCAGCCAUGCCGCGUGAGGGAAGAAGGCCUUCGGGUUGUAAACCUCUUUCGGCCGGGACGAAAUCGCAUCGGUUAAUACCCGGUGUGGAUGACGGUACCGUAAGAAGAAGCACCGGCUAACUACGUGCCAGCAGCCGCGGUAAUACGUAGGGUGCGAGCGUUAAUCGGAAUUACUGGGCGUAAAGCGUGCGCAGGCGGUUUUUUAAGCCAGACGUGAAAGCCCCGGGCUUAACCUGGGAAUGGCGUUUGGGUCUGGAAGGCUGGAGUACGGCAGAGGGAGGUGGAAUUCCACGUGUAGCAGUGAAAUGCGUAGAGAUGUGGAGGAACACCGAUGGCGAAGGCAGCCUCCUGGGCCAGUACUGACGCUCAUGCACGAAAGCGUGGGGAGCAAAC
RNAcentral lists this ribosomal RNA (425 nucleotides) under uncultured bacterium. RNAcentral describes it as "bacterial SSU rRNA". It matches the Rfam family "Bacterial small subunit ribosomal RNA", at positions 356 to 773 of the family's 1533-position model. The record is from RNAcentral.